Molecule: ribosomal RNA, 446 nt
Filed under: uncultured bacterium
Lineage: Bacteria
Description: partial 16S ribosomal RNA
Rfam family: Bacterial small subunit ribosomal RNA
Source: RNAcentral
CCUACGGGUGACAGCAGUCGAGAAUCAUUCACAAUGGGGGAAACCCUGAUGGUGCGACGCCGCGUGGGGGAAUGAAGGUCUUCGGAUUGUAAACCCCUGUCAUGUGGGAGCAAAUUAAAAAGAUAGUACCACAAGAGGAAGAGACGGCUAACUCUGUGCCAGCAGCCGCGGUAAUACAGGGGUCUCAAGCGUUGUUCGGAAUCACUGGGCGUAAAGCGUCCGUAGGCUGUUUCGUGAGUCGUGUGUGAAAGGCGGGGGCUCAACCCGCGGACGGCACAUGAUACUGCGAGACUAGAGUAAUGGAGGGGGAACGGGAAUGCGGGGUGUAGCAGUGAAAUGCAUAGAUAUCGAGAGGAACACUCGGGGCGAAGGCGGGUUCCUGGACAUUAACUGACGCUGAGGCACGAAGGCCAGGGGAGCGAAAGGGAUUAGAUACCCUAGUAGUC